GGGUCGUUAGCUCAGUUGGCAGAGCAGUGGACUUUUAAUCCAUGGGUCCUGGGUUCGAGCCCCAGACGCCCCA
RNAcentral lists this transfer RNA (73 nucleotides) under Weissella paramesenteroides. Its description in RNAcentral is "tRNA-Lys". It matches the Rfam family "tRNA". Rfam says of the family: Transfer RNA (tRNA) molecules are approximately 80 nucleotides in length. Their secondary structure includes four short double-helical elements and three loops (D, anti-codon, and T loops). Further hydrogen bonds mediate the characteristic L-shaped molecular structure. tRNAs have two regions of fundamental functional importance: the anti-codon, which is responsible for specific mRNA codon recognition, and the 3' end, to which the tRNAs corresponding amino acid is attached (by aminoacyl-tRNA synthetases). tRNAs cope with the degeneracy of the genetic code in two manners: having more than one tRNA (with a specific anti-codon) for a particular amino acid; and 'wobble' base-pairing, i.e. permitting non-standard base-pairing at the 3rd anti-codon position. The record is from RNAcentral. Lineage: Bacteria; Bacillati; Bacillota; Bacilli; Lactobacillales; Lactobacillaceae.